Molecule: ribosomal RNA, 422 nt
Filed under: uncultured bacterium
Lineage: Bacteria
Description: partial 16S ribosomal RNA
Rfam family: Bacterial small subunit ribosomal RNA
Source: RNAcentral
AAUUUUGGACAAUGGGGGAAACCCUGAUCCAGCCAUCCCGCGUGUAUGAUGAAGGCCUUCGGGUUGUAAAGUACUCUUGGCAGAGAAGAAAAGGUACCUCCUAAUACGAGGUACUGCUGACGGUACCUGCAGAAUAAGCACCGGCUAACUACGUGCCAGCAGCCGCGGUAAUCUGUAGGGUGCAAGGGUUAAUCGGAAUUUCUGGGCGUAAAGCGUAUGUAGGCGGUUCGGAAAGAAAGAUGUGAAAUCCCAGGGCUCAACCUUGGAACUGGAUUGUUAACUGCCGAGCUAGAGUAUGUCAGAGGGGGGUAGAAUUCCACGUGUAGCAGUGAAAUGCGUAGAUAAGUGGAGGAAUACCGAUGGCGAAGGCAGCCCCCUGGGAUAAUACUGACGCUCAGACACGAAAGCGUGGGGAGCAAACA